Molecule: ribosomal RNA, 483 nt
Filed under: uncultured bacterium
Lineage: Bacteria
Description: partial 16S ribosomal RNA
Rfam family: Bacterial small subunit ribosomal RNA
Source: RNAcentral
GACGAACGCUGGCGGCGUGCUUAACACAUGCAAGUCGAACGCUGAAGCUCAGCUUUUGUUGGGUGGAUGAGUGGCGAACGGGUGAGUAACACGUGAGUAACCUGCCUCCUUCUUUGGGAUAACGCCCGGAAACGGGUGCUAAUACUGGAUAUUCACUGGUCUUCGCAUGGGGGUUGGUGGAAAGGGUUUUUCUGGUGGGGGAUGGGCUCGCGGCCUAUCAGCUUGUUGGUGGGGUGAUGGCCUACCAAGGCUUUGACGGGUAGCCGGCCUGUGAGGGUGACCGGUCACAUUGGGACUGAGAUACGGCCCAGACUCCUACGGGAGGCAGCAGUGGGGAAUAUUGCACAAUGGGCGCAAGCCUGAUGCAGCGACGCCGCGUGAGGGAUGGAGGCCUUCGGGUUGUGAACCUCUUUCGCUCAUGGUCAAGCCGCAACAAUGGUUGUGGUGAGGGUAGUGGGUAAAGAAGCGCCGGCUAACUACGUG